Puntigrus tetrazona (Sumatra barb) is the source of this 725-nucleotide long non-coding RNA. RefSeq lists it as uncharacterized. Lineage: Eukaryota; Metazoa; Chordata; Actinopteri; Cypriniformes; Cyprinidae. The record is from RefSeq and is a predicted model, not a curated record. The transcript has 2 exons.
UAUUACCCGCUACCUGCUUCCCGCUACCUGCUUCCCGCUACCUGCUACCUGCUAUCUGCUACCUGCUACCUGCUAUCUACUACUGAUCCCUGUGAUUGUGAUUUGUGUUACUGGUUAUUAUUGUUUGUUUUUGUUUUGUUUAAAGUGGUUCUGCUUGAGGGCAUCUAUUUGAUUAUGGAGUAGCCGGUGCCCUGUGUGGAUUUUGCUCCUCCAUUGUGGAACUACAAAAAUUGUAUUCUUUUUCUUUCCUUUUUUAUAAUUUGUGUAUUUUUUGUUUUGUUGGACAUUUUGUAUUGUUUAUAUUCAACAUUAGUUUGCCUUGGUUGAAUUUGUUUGUUCGUUUCCCUUUCCUUUUUCUUGUGACAUUAUUGCCUGGAUUAGUGUGUAAGGUUUUGGUUUGUGUAAUACACAUUGCAUAUACUCAUUUUAUUUUUAUCUUCUUACAGGAGCUGGGGUUCCACGGGUGCAGGAGCUUGAGGUGGUGGUGUCACUUCAUCAUUUGCUGUGGACACGUUUGUGUGUGCAGUGAGUGUGUCGGGGUGUGUGUGUGUGUGUGUGGAGGUGUAAGUGUGCUUUUGGCUAAAUUCAGCACUGGUGAUCACUCCCGUGGGUGACCUCAGCCCUUUACCAUUGGAGAGUGCUGCCGGCAGUAGGUGAUGAGGAUUCAAUGUGACUUUUAAAUGGUGAAACAAUUGUGAAAAUAAAUUUUGUACUUUCAUGCUUUA